RNAcentral lists this ribosomal RNA (253 nucleotides) under uncultured bacterium. RNAcentral describes it as "partial 16S ribosomal RNA". It matches the Rfam family "Bacterial small subunit ribosomal RNA", at positions 524 to 776 of the family's 1533-position model. The record is from RNAcentral.
UACAGAGGUGGCAAGCGUUGUUCGGAUUUACUGGGCGUAAAGGGUGCGUAGGCGGUUUUGCGUGUCGGAUGUGAAAUCCCACGGAUUAUCUGUGGAACUGCAUUCGAAACUGCAGAGCUAGAGGUCAGUAGAGGAUGGCGGAAUUCUCGGUGUAGCGGUGAAAUGCGUUGAUAUCGAGAAGAACACCGGUGGCGAAGGCGGCCAUCUGGGCUGAAUCUGACGCUGAGGCACGAAAGCUAGGGGAGCAAACAGG